This 135-nucleotide small nucleolar RNA is filed under the name Seriola dumerili (greater amberjack). Its description in RNAcentral is "Small nucleolar RNA SNORA13 (ENSSDUG00000017641.1)". It matches the Rfam family "Small nucleolar RNA SNORA13". From Rfam's summary of the family: ACA13 is a member of the H/ACA class of snoRNA that guide the sites of modification of uridines to pseudouridines. The record is from RNAcentral. Lineage: Eukaryota; Metazoa; Chordata; Actinopteri; Carangiformes; Carangidae.
UGCCUUUAUGUGUUGCCCAUUCAUUGCUUUCUACAGUGACUGUGGUGUCAACUAAGGCAUAUAGCAAUUCUUGGAUCGGCCUUAGCAGGGUUCCUCUCUGGUGACCUUGUCUUAAGUUCUAUACCAAGUACAGCA